GGAGAUGGCUCAGUGGUAGAGUGCUUGCCUUGCAUGCAUGAGGCCCUGGGUUCAAUUCCUCAGCACCA
Molecule: transfer RNA, 68 nt
Filed under: Dipodomys ordii (Ord's kangaroo rat)
Lineage: Eukaryota; Metazoa; Chordata; Mammalia; Rodentia; Heteromyidae
Rfam family: tRNA
About the family: Transfer RNA (tRNA) molecules are approximately 80 nucleotides in length.
Source: Rfam by way of RNAcentral